This 669-nucleotide ribosomal RNA is filed under the name Bacillus aerophilus. RNAcentral's name for it is "bacterial SSU rRNA". It matches the Rfam family "Bacterial small subunit ribosomal RNA", at positions 48 to 701 of the family's 1533-position model. Lineage: Bacteria; Bacillati; Bacillota; Bacilli; Caryophanales; Bacillaceae. The record is from RNAcentral.
GCUAUACAUGCAGUCGAGCGGACAGAAGGGAGCUUGCUCCCGGAUGUUAGCGGCGGACGGGUGAGUAACACGUGGGUAACCUGCCUGUAAGACUGGGAUAACUCCGGGAAACCGGAGCUAAUACCGGAUAGUUCCUUGAACCGCAUGGUUCAAGGAUGAAAGACGGUUUCGGCUGUCACUUACAGAUGGACCCGCGGCGCAUUAGCUAGUUGGUGAGGUAACGGCUCACCAAGGCGACGAUGCGUAGCCGACCUGAGAGGGUGAUCGGCCACACUGGGACUGAGACACGGCCCAGACUCCUACGGGAGGCAGCAGUAGGGAAUCUUCCGCAAUGGACGAAAGUCUGACGGAGCAACGCCGCGUGAGUGAUGAAGGUUUUCGGAUCGUAAAGCUCUGUUGUUAGGGAAGAACAAGUGCAAGAGUAACUGCUUGCACCUUGACGGUACCUAACCAGAAAGCCACGGCUAACUACGUGCCAGCAGCCGCGGUAAUACGUAGGUGGCAAGCGUUGUCCGGAAUUAUUGGGCGUAAAGGGCUCGCAGGCGGUUUCUUAAGUCUGAUGUGAAAGCCCCCGGCUCAACCGGGGAGGGUCAUUGGAAACUGGGAAACUUGAGUGCAGAAGAGGAGAGUGGAAUUCCACGUGUAGCGGUGAAAUGCGUAGAGAUGUGG